RNAcentral lists this ribosomal RNA (253 nucleotides) under uncultured bacterium. RNAcentral describes it as "partial 16S ribosomal RNA". It matches the Rfam family "Bacterial small subunit ribosomal RNA", at positions 524 to 776 of the family's 1533-position model. The record is from RNAcentral.
UACGUAGGGUGCGAGCGUUAAUCGGAAUUACUGGGCGUAAAGCGUGCGCAGGCGGCUUUGCAAGACAGAUGUGAAAUCCCCGGGCUCAACCUGGGAACUGCAUGUGUGACUGCAAGGCUAGAGUACGGCAGCGGGGGAUGGAAUGCCGCGUGUAGCAGUGAAAUGCGUAGAUAUGCGGAGGAACACCAAUGGCGAAGGCAAUCCCCUGGGCCUGUACUGACGCUCAUGCACGAAAGCGUGGGGAGCAAACAGG